AAGCUUCUCUCCCAAAAAAUCUUCCCCUCUCCUCCCUCCCUUCCCCGGGUGGGCUAGAGUUGCCGCCGUCGCUGCCCCAUCGCCGCAUCCCAGCUCCUCCGCCGCCGGCCACCAGAGAAGGCGCCUCCUGAGAUCCGCUUCCCCCAAACCUUCUCGUCUUCGCGUUCCGCAAGACCUCCAGGAUGGUUGUAGAGGAGGAGGGGGGGUGAAGGGGAUGCCAUCGAGGUGCCGGCGGAGACCGACGGUGACGGCUACGACAAGGGGAGGAGAUGAAUCCGAAGCAGCUCGAGGGCCUCCUGGGGGCCUGACCAAGUUCUCCGCCGCCUCCCCCGCUUCAUCCUUCUCCUCUCUCAUUCUCUCCCCAUGCUCGUGGCGGCUGCGAGGAGGUAUACGAUGGGGUUCCGCGACCAGAUGAGGGCAAGGGCGUCGAUCUCCCUCCUCCUGCUCCCAAUCGCCGGCGCGGCCACCAUCUGCUAGAUCUUCACCGCCUUUGCGCCGUGGUCCAGCUGAUGGUGCUGCGGUUCUGCUCGGGCGCCAUCACCUGAAGGUCGCUGUUGCCGACGACGAGGACAGAUGGGAGGACGCCGCCGCAACGGAUCUGCUCCCCAUUUCCCUCCACCGUUGGUGGCCAUGUGCGGGUGUCUCCCAGGAUCCAGGUGUGGUCUCGCCGCCAUCGAUGCCAGAGGAGGAAGAGGUGCUCUUCCAUGUCGGCUAGAGGAGAAAGAGGAGGAGGAGGAGGCGCUUCUCCGACCAGACCCAGGGUCGGGGCCGGCACGCCACGGGCAUCUACGCCUGCGACCACGACCACACGCACGGGCUGACACCGCUGAUGAAGAUGCGUACCCUUAGCCACGAGUUUGUCCCUGAUCCCAUCCAUGCAGGUGGGCUUCGCUGCCAUUGAAUGACACCUCUGAUCUCCCAUGUAGAUGAGCUCGGGUUUAUGGAAGCCAUGUCCAUAAAGCAAACUGAGUGCUUCGAAGUUUUGUAGAAAAGGAAUUGGAAGCUCGGAGAGACCUCACGUGAAUCAACAGGUUUGACUCCUUUUAGUCUUUGGUUAUUUCCAUAGCGGAAACCCAUGAAAUGUCGGGAUCAAAAUCCCAGGUCAGAUGGAAGUGUGGGCAUUCAUGAUUACUGUACAAGUAACUGAUUUUGUGGAACAUGCUUCUUACUUUCUUGUCUGAAUGCUUAAUAGUAUAUUACCCUUGCAAUGUGAUGGAACCAGUAGACUUUAUACCCUUGACCCUUGCAAUGUCUGAAGCAAAACAAAAUUUGGAUCACAUUUUAGAUCUUUUGUUGAAAACAAAGUUUCUAUCAGGCUUUAGAUCUGUUAUUUCCUUGUUCUAAUCAGCAUAAACUGAAUUAUUUUAUCUGAUUGCAAAUUAUCAUCAAACUGUGGUGUUUCAUCGAGGACGAUCUUUAUCAACAAUGAGGAGGAUUUGCAGAAGAUGAGAUUUCAAAUGGCUUGAAUAAGAAGAGAUGCAGAUCAGUAUUCUGGACAGGUUCUUGAUCCUAACCAGUCCACGGUGCCGUAGCCGUCGUCCUGAUUCCUUGGACGCCGCCGACGCAAGCGACAAGAGAAGGUGAGAUCGAAUCCAUCUGUUCUUUCUUUUUCCCCGUCCGUCCCGUGGAUUUUUCCUGUAUUUUGGUGAGCUCCUGAACCACCUGAUUUCUUCUUUCAUGCAAGCACACCUCUAGCUCGGCUUGUGGCGGCGGCGGGUAUUGCUGGAGUGGAGGCGCCUUUCUUUUUUCGUCCUCUUGUUCGUGCGAAGGCGCAGAAGGUCGGAUGAGGAAGUAUGAGAACAGCAAAAGAGGAGAUGGGAAAGGGUGUCGUGUUGUGGGACAACCCAGCGCUGGUGGACGCCUUAGACCACCCCGUCACCACCUACAAGCUAUGCGCCCUGGUCCCCUUUUGAUCCUCUUGCCCUUUCCUCCUUGCUGGUGGCGUGUCAGGUCCUACGCGAUUUACAACUGUGGAUCUCGCGAAUUGUAAGAGGAAAUCAUGGCAAUUGCUGGAUCUGGAGUAUAUGAUCUGUAGGAGGAGCAGUGUUCGUAUAUAGGUUCAUGCCAUUAGGCUAGAAUGGGGAAUUCUCAAUGGUCAAUUACAACCACAACCCGGCUUAGUUAUAGGUGUACUUUUACCCACGAGCUCAACAACAACUAAACAUUAAACAGGACAGGUAACAGUAAAUCGGACGGUCCAUCGACGAAGUAAAACGAGGAGCUCAUCGUAGCCGUCAGAUGUUGAUGAAUCUGUAUGUCCCGGAAGAGCUACACCUAACUGAAGAUAGGUGCAGCCUGACAUGGCGUUCUGGUACUGCUCACUGAGAUCCCUCAAGCUACAUCAUUGGAUAAUUGAACAUGUAUGUUAAUUAGAUAAUUCAGUUAACCAGUGUGCAUCUACGUAAUUCAGUUAUACUAUGUACUAAUUCAUGCAAAGUAGGGACUAAUUGUUGGCGAACAUGCCUGCCACGCAUAUAUCAUGUUAUAUGUUGGAAACUAAUUUUGUUUUGUGCAUUCUUUAUGCAUGGCAUGCAUAUAUCAUGUGAAUGAUUGAACAAGUUUAGUUAAUAAGAUCUCAUCUGUUGGCGACUUGGAGUCAACUGCACCAGAUUUACAGUAACAAGCGCUAGCUUCUACUAAAAGAUGAGGUGUUCAUAGUCACAUAAUGUUUCAUAGAUUCACUACAAAACUGUUAGUUAUGAACUUAUGCUCGCUCAUAUAAAUCUGCUCAUGCACGAAUGUCUGCUGAAUUAAUUAGUAUAAGCUAGCAGCUGACACGCGUGUACAUGCAUGUUGUUAGCAGCAAUUCAGCAUCGACCUGUCUGAAUAACGAGCUUGAAUAUAAUCUCGUAAUAAGAACAAAGUGAGUUUACUAAAUGCAUGUUUUGUUUUGCCGACAGAUUAGCACAUAGUUAACUUGAUCCACAACAAAAAAUGUGAUGACAUGCAUGUUCGACAAGAAGACGAUCAACACCACUCUCCCUAAACAGAUCGUAAGAUCACACUAAGAGGUAGAAGACCCCAUGCUAGAAAAAAUACAGAUUCAGUUUCUCCAAAGUACUCAAAAGAAAGAAGUUGUAAUUUGAUGGAAUAAUUAACUAUGUUCUCUUUUAUUUCUCGAAUCAUGUCUGUUCGCACAAGUACUAUAUAUGUACACAGCAACAUAUGGUCUAUACUGCUACAAAUUGUGGUUAGCUUUCAAUCUGUUAUUCAAGUUACUGUAUGUACCCUGACCGAGGAAACAAUUUUUUCAGGCAAGAAGGAUGGUAUGGAAUCGACAGGUGAUCCGGUUAUGUUUAGUUACGUUACAUGUGGUGAAUGAGUAUGAAUCUAUCGUUCAGCUUAUGUAUCCCUGGACACUAUUCUCUUAUAUAAUGCUUCUUUGUUGAUCAUCCACUAUUAGUCAUCCAUUCACAUUGUCAGGACUCAUGAUCCAGUUAGUUGCGGCUAGAAAUGGCGACUACUGCUUUCUUUUUUAAUGAAAUUAGUAACAAUUAAUAAAAAUCUAAAACUGGAGCUAUUUCUUUUUCCAAACAAAUGAUAAUGAUGUAAUUUUGUGCUAUAAACUAAAUUUGUUGUCCAGAUGAUAACCCACUUUCCUUUUCACUUUUUGAGGUGAGAUAGAUGGACCGUAAUAGGACUUGUGUUUACUCAUUUUUGUUGUUUUCUUUUCCGUAUGAGUCUUUCUUUUCCAUGUUGAGUCAAAUGCCCCUGAUAUUUUUUCUUUUACUUUUCAGGUUUCCUGGAACUAAUAGAUGGAGGGGGUGCUAGGGUUGGGAUUGGGGUCGGAUGAAUUGCUCUGUCGAAUUUGUUCGCUGCUGUGUAGUAGUAUGUACAAGAUAACUGUAAUGGUCCCUUUUUGUUUCAUGAAUAGAUGUAGUUUUCCGUGCAUUUCUCUCUGGUUGAAUAGAUCGAUUGAAUUUGCUCCUUUAUUUUUUAUGUGAAAGAACUCAGGGGUUCUCCCACAUUUAUGCAUAUAUUACUGCUUGUUUGCAUUGGGCUAAUUGAUUUUGACGGCUUGUAGGCAAUGCAUGGUAAGAACAACCAAGCUGCUCCAUCUGAGAAACAAGAGUCAGAAGAUGUAGCUACCGUUGCGGAAGAACCUGUUUGUACUGAAGUAGCAGAUGAGUAAGUAGGCUGUACACCUCCUGAUAGGGUGUACUGAUGCUUCAAUUAAUAGUUUGUCCUGUUUUACUGGUAUGACAGUGAUUAUUCUGUGCAAAGAUGGCAAUUUUUUUUUUGUUAAAACUAGAGUGUGUAGAAACUAGAAAGGACGGUGCUAUGUUCCUGUCUGUCUUUUUCUCUGUAUUUUGUUUAGAACUUGUUCCUAGCAGAUUUGAAAAUUCUGGAGAGGAGAUAAAUUGCAGCAGUACAGCCUAUCACAUGAUGGAGAAAAGGAGUGUAGAGAAGAACAUUUGGCUUGAGCUGGAACAUGAGGUAUAUGCUUUUUCAGUUCACGCACAUUUUUUUUCCUGUUUUCAGCUAAUGGUAGUUCAGUUCACGCACAUUCUUCUACUGAAUGGACUUGACCAACAAGGACAUAGAAGCACUCUUGGGUGGACAUACUCCGGAGAAAAGCUCCUCCUGAUAGCUCGGGAUUCGACUACAGCUGGACAAAAGAUCCUCUGAAGUUUGAUAACUCCUACUUCAUGUAAGCUUAAUUGCCGCGGUUGUAGAUUGCAACACAUCGGCUAAAGAUUAUAUGUAGCUGUAAUGUCAUCAGUGCAACAUUAUGAAGUUGUACAUCACUGGACUUCAUCUUUUGUAUAUGCUGCAAUGAGCUUCUGAAAGGGGACUCCAACGGACUCACGAAGCUGCUUAUAGACAAGGACGCGUUCUUCAGGGACUACGCGAAGUCGCACAAGCAGCUUUCCAAGCUCUACUUUACUGGCGUGGACAUGCACAGACAAAGCCUAGAGGGCUGUCAUAAGAACUAUCAUUGUCUUCCCAGUUGCGGUUGCCGUCAUCGCCUGCGCUUACAUCUUUGAAUCAAAGAGAAGGCUUGGUGGUUAGACUGCAAGUCUCCAUGUUUAGAUGAUUGCGAUUCAGUUAUGGGUUUUGAAGAACAAAGUUAAUCAUCCAUUGAGAUGUUGUGCACUUGUAUUUGUAAUUAAUCUGUUGAUACAGUGACGAGGAUGCAGAUAUAUGCUACCAUCCAUGUAAUAUUAUUAAUGGAAUAAGGAAACUGUUGAUUAUGCAAGUACA
Triticum dicoccoides is the source of this 5205-nucleotide long non-coding RNA. RefSeq lists it as uncharacterized. Lineage: Eukaryota; Viridiplantae; Streptophyta; Magnoliopsida; Poales; Poaceae. The transcript is spliced from 7 exons. The record is from RefSeq and is a predicted model, not a curated record.